AUUCUCUUAUUAUAAAAAGUAUAUCAAGCUUCCAACUUGAGGGUUUAGUGUCUAAAGUGAAUA
RNAcentral lists this transfer RNA (63 nucleotides) under Atkinsoniella zizhongi. RNAcentral's name for it is "Atkinsoniella sp. 1 YJ-2022a tRNA-Gly". Lineage: Eukaryota; Metazoa; Arthropoda; Insecta; Hemiptera; Cicadellidae. The record is from RNAcentral.